This 548-nucleotide ribosomal RNA is filed under the name uncultured Glomeromycotina. RNAcentral's name for it is "SSU rRNA". It matches the Rfam family "Eukaryotic small subunit ribosomal RNA", at positions 548 to 1098 of the family's 1831-position model. Lineage: Eukaryota; Fungi; Glomeromycota. The record is from RNAcentral.
UUGGAGGGCAAGUCUGGUGCCAGCAGCCGCGGUAAUUCCAGCUCCAAUAGCGUAUAUUAAAGUUGUUGCAGUUAAAAAGCUCGUAGUUGAAUUUCGGAAUCAAUUUAUUGGUCGUGCUAUUGUACGUACUGGUAUUAUUGAUUCCUACCUUCUGACGAACCAUGAUGUCAUUAAUUUGGUGUCAUGGGGAAUCAGGACUGUUACUUUGAAAAAAUUAGAGUGUUUAAAGCAGGCUCACGCUUGAAUACAUUAGCAUGGAAUAACGAAAUAGGACGUUUGAUUCUAUUUUGUUGGUUUCUAGGAUCGACGUAAUGAUUAAUAGGGAUAGUUGGGGGCAUUAGUAUUCAAUUGUCAGAGGUGAAGUUCUUGGAUUUAUUGAAGACUAACUACUGCGAAAGCAUUUGCCAAGGAUGUUUUCAUUAAUCAAGAACGAAAGUUAGGGGAUCGAAGACGAUCAGAUACCGUCGUAGUCUUAACCAUAAACUAUGCCGACUAGGGAUCGGAUGAUGUUAAUUUUUUAAUGACUCAUUCGGCGCCUUACGGGAAAC